This 292-nucleotide ribosomal RNA is filed under the name uncultured bacterium. RNAcentral describes it as "partial 16S ribosomal RNA". It matches the Rfam family "Bacterial small subunit ribosomal RNA", at positions 505 to 796 of the family's 1533-position model. The record is from RNAcentral.
GUGUCAGCAGCCGCGGUAAUACGUAGGGUGCGAGCGUUAAUCGGAAUUACUGGGCGUAAAGCGUGCGCAGGCGGUUUUGUAAGUCAGAUGUGAAAUCCCCGAGCUCAACUUGGGAACUGCGUUUGAAACUACAAGACUAGAAUAUGUCAGAGGGGGGUAGAAUUCCACGUGUAGCAGUGAAAUGCGUAGAGAUGUGGAGGAAUACCAAUGGCGAAGGCAGCCCCCUGGGAUAAUAUUGACGCUCAUGCACGAAAGCGUGGGGAGCAAACAGGAUUAGAUACCCCCGUAGUCC